CUGCCCAAUGACACAUAGUUUAAUGGCCGCGGUACCCUGACCGUGCAAAGGUAGCAUAAUCACUUGCCCCUUAAUUAGGGGCUGGCAUGAAAGGACACCACGAAAGCUUCCCUGUCUCACAAUAAUAAAUAAAAAUUAAUCUUCAAGUGAAAAAGCUUGAAUUAAACUGCAGGACAAGAAGACCCCGUUGAGCUUUAUUCUCUAUAGACUAAACCAAAUAUUAAAUACAUUAUAAACCUAAAAAGAAUUUAGUUGGGGUGACUAAGGAACACCAAAAACUUCCUUUUAUUAAUUAGGAUCAUUCUCCAUACAAAUUGACCCAUUACACAUGAUCAAAAAAAUAAGCUACCACAGGGAUAACAGGCUAAUCUUUCUCAAGAGCCCAAAUUGUCAGAAAGGAUUGGCACCUCGAUGUUGUCUUAGGGGCCCCUAAUGGUGCAGAAGCCAUAAAUGGUAGUUUGUUCAACCUUAAAACC
Molecule: ribosomal RNA, 476 nt
Filed under: Lamellibrachia barhami
Lineage: Eukaryota; Metazoa; Annelida; Polychaeta; Sabellida; Siboglinidae
Description: partial 16S ribosomal RNA
Rfam family: Bacterial large subunit ribosomal RNA
Source: RNAcentral